ACUUGCCGGAAUGUGAUUGCAACCUAGAAAGCGGGAGCCUAAUGGUUAGUAUUUGCUGCACCGUGCCAACUGGGAUGUGAUAAUUGUGCCUCCAGAUCCUGCCAUUGUCCAUAAAACCUUGCUGCUUUUGAAUGCUAGCAAGGUCGGAGUUAGUGGCGUGCCUGGUGGAAAGGGAUACUAUUGGGUAUUUUUUCAAACUGAGAACCAGGAGCCGUGAUAAUGGAAAUAUGUCCUUCCUUCUACCGUGCCCUUCUUCUUCUUCACCAUAAUUUUCCUUUUCUUCUUCCACUACCAACCCCUUUCCUGUCAUCUCAACCACUACCAUCAUUAUGACUGCUGACUGUCACUUCUACCACCAUCAUCACCAGCACAGCAAUUCGUACUGUUACCACCAUCGCCACCAUUCUCACUGCUACCAUGACUACCACCACCACCCUCAGCACCUGCUUAUGGGAAAGAAUGGAGAAUUAUACCUUUAAUACUGCUCAUCAACAUGAUUCCCAGCCCAAACAACCCAAAGAGUACACUGUGCUAGAUAGUGCUUUUUAUACCAGCCACACGCUGGAGAGCAUGAACUAGACCGAUUAUGCCAACACAAAAACAAAAACAGAGCCAUAAUUCCUCACUCCAACCUUCGCAAAAAACAACCAUGUACCAAAUUGUUAAGGCUUUAGAAAUCCUUUAAAAUGACAGAUAUAAAACAGUAUAAAGGGAGCUCAGCUUUCUUCAUGCACCUUUGGGACAACCCUUGAAGCUACAGGGUCACUAGAUUAAAAGAAAGAAAGAAAGAGGCUUGUGAUAAAGCCCAGACAUCACGGUGCUGUUUGCUGUCUCUCCAUUUCUGGCUCUGGCGGGAGCUCCGAGACAAGAUCUAAGAGGCGGCUCAGAGGCUGCCUCACACACAAACACAGGACAGGUACAGUUCUUCAGAGAAGGCCUUAGCCCCACGGGGAAAUCUCAGAUUCAAGAAUCUGCUGACAUAAACAAGAGGAAAGGCUUGGUGGCAAGUCAGAAGACUUGUUUUUGGAAGCUGAAAACCAACUUCGGUGACAAUGGUCUUCCCCAGCUCCCUAAUUGUGCCCUUGCUGGGGAGGCCUGUAGCCCUCCUGGGACCUCCAGGGCUUGAAACCAGCCCUGCUUAGGUAAGUGCACUGUGCAAAUAAGCCCUCGGGGGCCCACAGACAGGUAAACAGCUCUCCAGCUGACAUUCAGACACAAACUGGAGAUUAAAAUGACUAGCUUUCAGAUCCGUGCAUCCAGAGAGGGUCUAGGCUGGGCCCAGAGAAGGGGUCCAGGGUGAGUCAUUAGGGGGCCCACAGCCAUGCAGUUUGAAAGAAGUGAGGCAGAUGGGGAGGGCAGGUGUGAAACCAGCUCUGGAAAGACUUGAAAGGGAAGGCAGGAUCAAUACAAGGGCUGGACUUGCUGCAGUGAAGACAAGUGCCACUGACCAAGUGAAAGGAGAGUGGGAAGGAAAGAGACCGGGGGUAGGGUGAGUAGGAGAGGCGGCGCCGGGCAAGGUUCAGCACGGAGCCACGUGAGGCAAGCACUUCUCCAAGAAUUUAUUGUUGUAAGGAGCAAGGGGUGAAAGUGCUUCUUUGCCUUCCCUGUUCAAAAUUGCAAUUCAAAAUCAAGUUUCCAGUUCUGAUUGCACAACCCCAUCGAUAUGUUUAAUGCUGAAUGUUUAACACUUAGAGAUGGUUGAGAUGGUGAAUUUUAUGUUACACGUAUUUUACCAAAAUAAAUAAUAUUGGAAAAGAAAUUAAGUAGGGUUAGGGAAAGAUCCGAAGGUACUGGGGCAUUUUAAUCAAUUAAAGAAAAUUGAAGAUAAAAUCUUACUAGGAACCUGCACACAGAAAACACUCAGCCAGAACUGAAGCCAAGGCUCCCGUUUUCACUUUUCAGACAACUAACCAAGUCAGUGGGAGAAAGAGUUUUAAGUAUUAUGGGUGGGAAUGUCUCUUUUCAAUGGCUUACUUCUAGGCAUGGUGGUCAGGACACCUGCCCCCAUGUCUUUCUCCAAGUUUCCUUGAUGCCUUCAGUCCUGCAAGAAAUAACUUAGUUGUGUUCUCACAUUGUGGUGGUUUUCUUUUUUUUUUUUUGCAGUUUUGGGCCUGGGUUGGGUUUGAACUUGCCACCUUCGGCAUAUGGGGCCGGCGCCCUACUCCUUUGAGCCACAGGCGCCGCCCCAUGGUGGUUUUCUUCAAAGGAGGGCUUCUUCCUGGCAUGGCACGACCCCAACUAGAACUCCUUGCAUUGCUGAGUUGACGUCUGAGCGCCCUCCCAAAGUUCUUCUUUGCAGCCUGGCACCUUUGCUGCCCACCAUUCUGUGUCCUCUUCUCACCAUCCCGAGGGAAAGAGCAGCAGGCUUUUCUGAAUCCAUUGAAGACCUCCUUGCUUCCAUCAUCAGCCCUAGACUUGUCAUUCUGGUGGCAUUCUCCAUCAAGGCAUAUGAGUUUCUGUAAUUCACAAGUCUCUGCAUGAACAACAACAAAUAGAGGACAAUUAACCCAUGAUGUGACGCAGAUGCUGAGCAGCUGGCUGGGCGCAUUUGCUGACAAGACCAGUGCCCGUGAAGUAGUUUCUGAAUAGUACAAAUGACUCAGAUUUGUGCCUCAGCAAAAUUAGAAAUCACUAUCAGUUACAGAUCUUCAGACAAAGCAGCUAGUACUAAAUGCUGAAGGUCACACACCUAGAAUGACUUUGAGCAGUCCCACAUCACUGACUUGACUAGAAAGGAGCUUAUUCAGUUGUCCAGUGCUGUGCAGAACACAGGGAGGAGAGUUGAGGCCACUGUGAGAUGGUAACACUAAUCCUCCUACCAUUCACCAGGCACUUAUUACACGCCCAGUAUGUUACAUUAGACUUUGCAUAGUGUUCUGGCCAAACUGCCUGGGUUGGAAUCCUGGCUCUACCAUUUCCCAGCUGAGUUACCUUUGUAAUCUUACUUCAUCUCUUUGUGACUCAAUGU
Nycticebus coucang (slow loris) is the source of this 2968-nucleotide long non-coding RNA. RefSeq lists it as uncharacterized. The record is from RefSeq and is a predicted model, not a curated record. NCBI's taxonomy places the organism in Eukaryota, Metazoa, Chordata, Mammalia, Primates, Lorisidae. The transcript is spliced from 3 exons.